This 1747-nucleotide long non-coding RNA is filed under the name Mus musculus (house mouse). RNAcentral's name for it is "long non-coding RNA chr4:99194171-99195918". The record is from RNAcentral. Lineage: Eukaryota; Metazoa; Chordata; Mammalia; Rodentia; Muridae.
GGAGCGGCUGCUGGAGCCGACGCGCGUCUGGUGUGGGGACUCCUGCGCGGCUGUACAGUUAUCCAGUCCCGUGUCGCCGAGGGGUCGGCUCGAGGCUGGCGGAGUGGAGAAGGUUGGAGCUUGGUGUUUGUAGUCUACGAAUGGCCGGUUCUGGGGGCGGCCCUGCCCUUGGUGCAGACCCGUGGCCAACCGUCUGGGUUCCUGGAGGGUUUUGGAGCCUCUCUCGAUUCUGCUUCCUCCUGAGGGUUAUCUUCUGACGACUCCUCCUCGCCCUUUGAACUGUAAGCCUUCCAGUGGCCGGCUGUUCUACCCUUCUUGACCAGGAAAGGUUUUCUCCCUAGCCGCCGUAUCCCAUUGACUCUUCCUUGUUUCUCUUCAUUUAAAACAAAAAGAGUGUAUGUGUGGGAAAUGUUAGAUCUCAAUCUGUCCGUCUGUAGCCCCGUUGCCCCUUUCGUUGUUUGAAACCGCAAUCUGUAGCAUUAUAUACCCUGGCUGUGCUAAUAACGCUGACUUCAUAGACCGGCUUUUGCUCAUUCUCACAUGCCCACCCACAUCUGAGGGUUAUUGAAGUUGGAAACUCAGACUACAAUCUUCCGUGCGAUGACCCGACAUCACUGGGUCAGCUCAGCAUAACUCUGCUUGAGUUUAUUUUCUUAGGGUUUUUGUCGUAUAUUUUUGUUAUCUUUAUUGAUUACUUUUCCACACGAGGUUCAUUGCGACCUCGGGGCUAAGACUGUAUUAUUUUAUAGCUUUUUAAUCUUUGAAUUACUUAGGUGAAGAUUUCCUUCUGUUUGUUUACCUUUUCUGACCUUACAUUCCCUUGGGAGUUUGGAAUUGAUUUUGUGUCAGUUGAUAGCAGAUAGACACAAAGGAGUGAUCUUUCCUGCCUGCUGCUUGUGGCUUUUAAUUAGAUUAUGAGUCUUUGGAAGUGCCCAGAGGGAUUGGAAAGGUUUUGAAAUGUAUUUUCGGAGUUUCAAAUGAUAAAGCUUUUAUUUUUCCAACUAGGGAAGAGUUCUAAUUAGUCUAGUGUCUGAAGCUAAUUAACUGGUUCACCUGCCAUAAGAAUUUGAGAACUGAAGUUAAAAACUGGGCAAUGUGAGGGAUUGUCUACAUUAGUAAAAUGAGUUUAGAGGCCCCCUUAAUUGAUGCUUUUUCUAUAAAAGGGGAUGCACAUAUAUUUUAAAAAGAAUAUUUUGUUAUGUGGGUGUUUUUCUACACAUAUGUCUGUUCAUCAUGGGUAUGCCUGCUGCCCCCUGAAGUCAGAAGAGGGUAUGUGAUCUCUAGGGACUGGAAUUGCUGAUGAUUACCUUGGGUGCUGGGAAUCGAACCAAGGUCAUCCACAAGAGUAGCCAGUGCUGGUGACUGCUGAGCUAACUCUUUAGCCUGGAUACAAAUAUAUUGAAAAAUGUUUUGUGAAACUCUUUUUUUGAAGCUUUGUUCUUAGUAGUCUGAUAGAAUUGGUUAAUGCUUUUGUAUUGCUAUUUGCUAAUGUUAUACACAGAGAUAUUUGGUGUCUUAUUUUCUGGGAACCCUGUAAUUUAAGUGACUUUCCCAGCUGCCUUUUUAAUUAUUGUGUUGCAGUGUUUCUAAUACUUCUUUGUUUUGUUUUGUUUUGUUUUAAAACAGUCUAACCACACAACCUGGGCUAACUCAACUCUUUCUUCCCACCUCGGUGUCCAGAGUGCUGGGUUUAUGGGCGUGUGUCAUUCUUCUUUAAGAGAUACAGUCUGUAACUAUCAAUAAAAUU